AGAGUUUGAUCAUGGCUCAGGACGAACGCUGGCGGCGUGCUUAACACAUGCAAGUCGAGCGAGGUCCAUCUGGUGGCAACACCAGUGAAGACCUAGCGGCGAACGGGUGAGUAACACGUGAGCAACCUGCCCCGAAGACUGGGAUAACACCGGGAAACCGGUGCUAAUACCGGAUACCCCCACCGGGUCGCAUGGCCUGGUGAGGAAAUGAAUUUUGCUUCGGGAGGGGCUCGCGGGCUAUCAGCUUGUUGGUGGGGUAACGGUCUACCAAGGCGACGACGGCUAGCUGGUCUGAGAGGACGACCAGCCACACUGGGACUGAGACACGGCCCAGACUCCUACGGGAGGCAGCAGUGGGGAAUCUUGCGCAAUGGGCGAAAGCCUGACGCAGCAACGCCGCGUGAGGGAUGAAUGUCUUCGGAUUGUAAACCUCUUUCAGCAGGGACGAAAAUGACGGUACCUGCAGAAGAAGCCCCGGCCAACUACGUGCCAGCAGCCGCGGUAAUACGUAGGGGGCGAGCGUUGUCCGGAUUUAUUGGGCGUAAAGAGCUCGUAGGCGGCUUAGCAAGUCAGGUGUGAAAACUCCAGGCUCAACCUGGAGACGCCACUUGAGACUGCUAUAGCUAGAGUCCGGUAGGGGACCACGGAAUUCCUGGUGUAGCGGUGAAAUGCGCAGAUAUCAGGAGGAACACCAGUGGCGAAGGCGGUGGUCUGGGCCGGCACUGACGCUGAGGAGCGAAAGCGUGGGUAGCAAACAGGAUUAGAUACCCUGGUAGUCCACGCCGUAAACGUU
This 793-nucleotide ribosomal RNA is filed under the name uncultured bacterium. Its description in RNAcentral is "bacterial SSU rRNA". It matches the Rfam family "Bacterial small subunit ribosomal RNA", at positions 8 to 810 of the family's 1533-position model. The record is from RNAcentral.